AGACGCUGCCCCGUUCCUCCUUUUCCUGGAUUGGAGUCAGGACACCGGGGUCUCAUCCAUGUUCUGCAAUGAAUUUCCCUGUUUAAAGGUAGCAGCCCCGUGCUCGUGGCUCCUCUGACUGCAGGGUGAUGGCUGGUGAAUACAGACAGAACGCAAGCACCUGGAUUCGCUAUCAAAUAAUUGGGUGUUAUCUGGUCAGGUAAGACGAGCUACCCCUGACCCACCACUCCUAAACAAUUAGACACCAGCUUUAGGGAUGUUAACUCAGGGACAGGCUUGUGAAUUGAAUGUGGCCGGUUACUCAGAAGGGUUUGGUGGGGGCCUGAGGCAGCGGCGAAAUAAUGAAAGGGUACUCUUGGGUUUCUGGUCCCAGCUGUGGAAGGGGGCAGAGCAACGAUACCGCGUGAUGGAACAAGAGCUCUGUGUUGACGAUGCGUUACAGCAGGUGGAGGGCAUUACAAAAGGCCUACCUGAGUCAUUGAGCAACACACAAAAACCCACUAUCUGGGGUCUAAAACAGCUGUGUACGACAUAUGGGACCCCACCAUGGACAUCGAUAGUGACCAAGGAAUUCACUUUACUGGCCAUGAAGUUCAGGAAUGAGCCAAUUAAGAAUGAUGUACACUGGCGUUUCCUUAUUACCCCACUGCUGCUGGGCUAUGACCGGACUACUUAACAACUGAGAUGGGAAACUGGUUCUCUCAACGUGUGACACAUCCCAGGAGCAAUUGUCCCAGUGCCUACACCAUGAUAACCCAGAAGCAACUAGUCAACACAAGCCAAGUUCACCUGUUGGCCACUGAAGGACCGUUGCCAGCUAUUGGUUAGGACAGUAACUUACUUUUGCCCUUGCCGCAGGGUCUGUCCCUAGGAACACGUUAUAAAAUGGCCCUGGGACUGGCAGGUAAGUCCCCGGUGGUUUGCUUUUCCCGCCCCAAGAGGAAUAGGAUUAGAAAUGGACUUAAGAGAUUUCACCUGUCUUCUACCCAGCCCCACCUGAGACUGCUGAAACAAUCCAGGCCCCCUGCUGGAGAAAGGCACCAUUAUAUCAGCCUGUGGUCAGUUGUUAUACCACCUCUCCAGCGUUCGGCACCGGCUCUGAGGACUGAAGGUGGACAAGUGGUGUACUACUGCAGGCCAGGACGCGGCGGCAGAGGUAGUGUUAUCUCAGGAUGUUGUCACUGCUUGUCGUUUGCUUAAUGGUCAUGACCUUCCCUGUAUGGUGCCUGUUAAAACAUCUUACAUUUUGUCCCUAGUCUGAAUGGAGGGAAUCUGUGGACUGGGCAACACUGGGGGCCUCACUGCGAAAUGAGUUUGAUUGCUGGAACUAGAGCGAGAUGCUGUUGUUGUCCUCUGGAAUUCCAUGAAAAUUUGACCUGAUGAGCUGCCUGGCUCUGAAGUGUGCCCACCUCUUGCACUCUUGAUGCUUUUAGCUUCUGUUGUCUGUAUUGCAUUUGCGGUAUUUGGUGGCAGGGCACCACUACGUACCUGAGCCCAGGGAUAUCUCGGAAGAGGGGUGAACCAAGAUUGUAAGGGUCAUGCGGGGUAUGUGGGGUGGAGUGUAUGGCCAGGCCACUCAAGGUGGCUGUUCUCUUGCUCUUUGUACAUCUCCUGCUUCACCUACACUCUGCUCACAUGAACGUGCUUGGCCUCUGCCCCAGCUAGUGAUUGUUCUAGUCUUUAGGCCAGAACGGCUCCAGCUGCUAGUUUAUUAAAGGGAAAUUUCUGCCCUGGAGAUGGUUGUUACCCUGAGGGGCUGGGAGGGACCUGCCCCAGCGGCUAGUUUCCCUGGUAACUGAUGAGCCAACCUGUGGUCAUUUCCCCCUAUAAAUGGUAGCCUCCUUCUCCCCUGACUAGGAAAGAUUGUUGCCAUGGCCUGCCUGUUGUCUGUCCUACAUGGUAGGGUGACCCCUUGUUUCGGAGGGGUAGGAUCCCCUAUCCGCUAAAUCAUUGUCUCUGUCCCUGCCUUGGGGCUCUUUCUUCAGUCUCGAGGCUGGGCAAUUACAAGGCUUGCAGGCCUGCGGGGUGCAGCCCCAAAUGGUCUAAGGUUGGUCUGAGUUUCAUCUUAUUCGUUCCUGCCAACCUUUGGAAAUGUUAAAGAACACUAAAAGGGUCCAGAGUCAGCAUGAAUGAUUAUCUGAGUGAAUAAACAGAAGGAUCAGUACAAACGAAAACCUCCUGGACACAUCUUCAACUGGGUAGUGGGCCUCCCUGCAUGAGUGGAGAGUAACAUAUAUGAGGGAAAUGCUUUAGAGGGAGUACUAGAGGCCAGUCGUUACUGCCCUAUAGUCUGGCCUAUGAUUUCAUAAACUGGUUUGUUGAGCAAAUGUCCACUAUGUAACUGUUGCUGUAUUCUUUAAUGUGUGAAAGUUCACUUCAGAAUUAGAGACGAAUGUGUUCCUAUUUAAUAGUUUUCCAAUUAUAAAUGAUGUGUAAAACAAGGGUCUCUUCCCAUUUCCAGUGAGAGACCCCAUCCAAUUGAUCAUUAUGUCCCUUGUUACCACUGAAUUGGUUAUCAGCUCACUGAGGAGAAACUGUCAUAUUCAUCUUUGGAUCCUCCCUCAGCUGCCCCAGUUCUGGUAACAGUCAUUCAAUUGCUUAAAUUUCUUUCCGAUUCCUACUGCCACCUUCUUGGCUCAGAUGUUCUUCAUGCUGGGAAUAUUACUAAAUUUCUUUAUUGCACACCUGAUUCUAUGCUUGACUACCCCCUGCCCACCCCCCCCAAAAAACCCUCAUUUUACGUAUUAUAUAUUGCUGCCUGAUGAUUAUAUAUAAAUUAAUACGUUACUACCCAACUCAAUAUUUUCAGUCAGGGGAUGUUUGAAAGCUUAUCAUGUAGCUAUUUAGUUUUCCUUGUUGUCUUAAGCAGUAUUUCUUAGAUUUGACUCAUCCUAAUAAUCUGAGAACUUAAAAAAAAAAAAAAAAGCUCAAGUUACACCUGAAUCAAAAUUCCCACAGAAGGAGCCCAAGAAUCUAUUUAUCAAGCAUCCAGGUGACUUUUAUGAUUAAGUACUUGUGCUUAUUGUACUAGCAGCAUUAGUAUCACAUGUGAAAAAGUAGAUUUGGGGCCCCUUCUCACUUUGGGGUCCAGCAAUCUGAUUUAAUAAGUCUUCCAGGUGAUUCUGAUGUACACUGAAGUUCAAAUACCAUCGAACUAGCCUGUAACAAUGACUUAGGGCAGUGGUUCUCAGAUGUGGCUGCACACUACCACCGUCUAAGGAACUUUUAAAAACAACAAUACUGAGCCCUUACCUCCAGAUAUUCUAAUUGAAUUGGGGCACAGCAAGCAUUUGACUAAUAUAUCAUCAUGGAUGUUGAGGCUGAUGUAACCUAUAACUCAUUUCAGAAUUUUGAACUUAUCUAGCCUUACUGAUUGGAUUUAUAUGGUGCCAAGUUUGAAUUUUUAACAUAAAUGUGUGCAUUUGAGAUAUUGAGGUUCUCUGUAGACAGAUUUAAUUGGAAUAAAGGGAGCUUCUACUAAUGGUUUGAAAACCACAAGCCUACAAACUCAAGUCCAAACCCUUCAGUCUUGCCUUUAAAACACAAGUUUAUUGUCUCUCUUACUAAUACCGCAUAGCCCUACUCUCCAGCUGUAAUAUUGGGUUGGCCAAAAAGUUGGUUCGGGUUUUUCCGUAGCAGCUUAUGAACGAACGUUCUUGGCCAACCCAAUACACCUGUAGGAAGUAUGCUUCCUGACACCUAGGAAGGGGAAAGAGCACCAGACUGAGGUCCCAGACUACAGUCUAGUUCCAGCCUGUUGGACCUUGGCAAGUCACUCUCUUUUGGCUUGUUUCCUCAUUACGAAGGGAGGGGCCGGAACCAAAUGAUGUCUAGCACUCCUUCUGACUUAGUGUUUUAGCGUUUUCACAUUCAGGUUCAUUUCCAACUUAAGACUGUGUUGUCCCUUCUGUAGGAUAACUCAUCCAGAGGCACAGUUCAAGAUCUAAUUAUCGUUAGCAUUUCUUUGGCACUCAGUCCAAGCCUCUUUGACCUCUUAGGCGUCUUUGUGUGUUUAUGUCUGGUCUCCCACUGGGUAAUAGAUUUCACGUAUCUCUUUGUAUCCCUAAAUGCCCAGCAUAAAAGUCCAUGUUUCUUAUCUUUUUUCUCAGGACCAUGAAUUAUGGCCGCUGCCGUUUGUUUUAUUCCAACAAUAGCUACGUUGAAAGCUUGUUUUUGCUGAGUGAGCUCUCAUGACUGUACCAAAGGUUUCCAACUUAUAUCCUACUUAUCCUACAAAUUUUCUUUUAUGAUAGUCCUAUUCAGCCCCUAGUUUCCACUGAUUAUUCUCAAAAUAGCUCUCUUGUGGCCUCUGCUGGUUUGACAGUAGACAACUGCUUCACUAAUUCCUUAAAUGCACACUAAAGGAUUCAAGUGUAAGGACACUUCAGUUUUCCAAGGAACCAUUCUAACAACAUCAGCUCAGCAAAGAGAAAGAUUUUGAGAUGUCUCUUAAACUGCUAGCCUUGCUGAGAAUAGACAGUGGUAAAACCUGAGAUAUUUUAAAUGCUUAUUUCUGAAGUGGCAUUUUUCAAACUUAAACUCAUGCUUGUUAAGAUGCCAGGAACAAGUGAAUAAGAUUCUUAGGUGUGUUCUUUAAAAGCUUGCCUCUUUGGAAUAAACUUGUCAAAAUUGGCCUGAUUCUGAUACUUGUAUUAUACCUGGCAAAGAUAAAAGUGCUUGAUAAAGGUUUAAGUAAAUGUACUAGUGUUAUUUGGUUUACGUAACACUAUUCCUUUUUGACAACUAAAUUAUAAGUUAAAGACGAUCUGGGCAAGAAUCUUUUCAGAGUUAUUUGUUUUAGAGGGCCUAAGAAUGUUCUCUGUAAGUUUUAAAAUACAUAUGCUAGAUGCAAUUUUAAAUCGAGUUACUAAUAUGUUAAGCUGCCUUUCCAGUUGGACUUUGGGAAAUUUUUCACUACGUGAGAGGUGUUAAGAAUAUUCUUCUGCUUCAUUUGUUCUUUUCUCAAGGUAGCAUGUUGUAUCUUCUAUAUACAUUUGGAUACCUAUGAUUAACUCAUUCAAACUGUUGCCUCUGACAACCUUACGUUUCAAAUGAUUUAAUCGGGAUGCCUGUCUGUCAAAGGCAGGAAAGGUGUUAAUCCAAUGUGAAGUGCUGACGUUGCAGUUCUGCAUGCUUUCAAAGUUUAAAUCACAGGUCUUCAACUUUAGAAAGCUCAAAGGCAACCUGAAACUAUAUGUAACUACAUACAGUGACUGAUACAUAUUUGUAUGAAAAUACUGUCUAACAUAUAUAAUGCUUUACAAAUGAAGAAGCCCUUUCAUAUAUCUUCUUAAAUCACAAACUGCAGUUCUGUGUUUAAAUGCAUCUGUCUAACUCAAGUGUCUUUAAAAAGUAUCUAUUACAUUACUUCAUUUAAAGGUAGAGCUGGUCAACAGCAGAUGAAGAGACCUCAGUUUACCCAACCUCACAGGGUUACUGAGGAAAAAUGAAAAAUGCUGGCUAAAGGGUUGGAUUUCUGUCAAGCCACUAUCAGGUAGACAAUCUCUUGUCUCUGCUUAGGCUCCUUUUUUUUUUUUUUUUUUUUUGCGGUACCCGGGCCUCUCACUGUUGUGGCCUCUCCCGCUGCGGAGCACAGGCUCCGGACGCGCAGGCUCAGCGGCCAUGGCUCAUGGGCCCAGCCGCUCUGCGGCAUGUGGGAUCUUCCCGGACCGGGGCACGAACCCACGUCCCCUGCAUCGACAGGCAGACUCUCAACCACUGCGCCACCAGGGAAGCCCUAGGCUACCUUUUUUAAAAAAAAAACAGAUCACUGGAGAUAUACAGCUCUAACUGCACAUCCUGUGGUGCCCUGUUCCAAUCCAGGUGUCUCUCAGUGGCUAUUCUGGCCAUUGAGACACAGGGAAAGUUACUGGGAGGGGCCUUCUGGAAAACUUUUUAAAGGACAAAAACAAAUGACAUGUGCCUUUUUCUUUUCCCUUCCACCUGGCUAGAACAUGGACAUGAUUCCAGAGGUGGCAUAACUAUUUAAUAGUCACAAGGAUGAAGGCCACAUACAAAAUAUGAAAGCAGAAAGCUAGAAGAAAUCCGGGUUUACGAGGGCAUAGACCAGCUUUGGACUGGCCAUCUCCAGACAUUCUAAUGUGAGAAAAAGAAAACUAGUCAUUUGUUGUUUAAUCUUUUUUGGAUCUGUGUUUUGGCAGCUUAGUGUUAAGCUGAUACAUAAAUUCCCAAGAUUAUUUGACGAUUAAAAGAGAAAAAUCUAUGUGAAGAGUGUAACACGGUUUCUGGCAUAUACUAAGUGACCAAUGAAUGGCUAUUAUUUGGGGAAGAUUAGUUGACUGCCAGCAGAGAACAAAAAAUCAAACAUAGGAUAAACAAUUUGGGAAGGGAAGAAAAGUGCUGAAUAGAAGCUAUGAUAGGUCCAUUAAAAAAAUAUUGAGAAUCACACUCAGAGCCAAACAAUGUACAAAGAGGGUCUAACAUAAAUGUAGAUACUAAAUGUAAGUGAUUUCUUUUCCAAUCCCCUCUCUGAAAACAUAAAACUGAUGUCAUUUACUCAUGAAAACCUUGAUCAAUGAGGAAGAUGAGACUAAAAAGUUUUUUAAAAACUCUGAGAAGUAAAGGUUGUAUCUAUAAGGUUAUUUAGAUUUUGGUGAGGCAUUCCAUUCAGUGUGUCAUGUCCUCCUGCUUAUGUAAUACUGUCAAGAUCUGGAUUAAAGGAAUACACAAGACACUGAUAAACAAAAUGCCACUAGAAAAGGUGACACAGAUGUGGUCAGUCAUCUUGAUGACUCAGACACUAGGUUCCAGAGGAGUAGAAAGUUGCUAAAUAGAGAAAUCUAUUUUUGUUCAUAACAUUGGUCAAUCCAGAGAACUACAACUAACUGAAUUUGAACAUGUGGGCGGAGAAGAACUCAAAUUGCUUGAAAACUGCACGAGGAAGAACAAGUAUGAUGAAAAGAAAACAUGUGAAGAGCUGGAAUAGUAUGAUCAGAGGAUGUUAAUUUAUAGUACGUGGCAAAGGAAAAGAUAUUUGUAGUCACCUUGACAGGAAUUCACUACCGAGUAGUUCAUUUCAAGUCAAUGAAAGAAAGAAGCUGGAAAGUUAAAAGGAUUGUUAAAAUUUAGCCUUUUAAAAGACAUGAAUGCCAGACAUUGGAAUGACCUACGUAAGAGCAACUUGAUUAAGAGAAUAAAAAUCUAUGUUAACAUGAAGUCACUGCUGAAUGUGAAUACCAAGGGAAGAUGGAAUAAAAGACCCGAAAGGCAACAAAUCAGACUACAACUAUCAUAUUUUCAAAACUGUAAUUAGGUAUUACCAAAUAAAGUAAUAAACAACUUUUAACUUAGAGUGCAAAAUAAAAG
This is a long non-coding RNA of Orcinus orca (killer whale), 7326 nucleotides long. RefSeq lists it as uncharacterized. The record is from RefSeq and is a predicted model, not a curated record. The transcript is spliced from 2 exons. Lineage: Eukaryota; Metazoa; Chordata; Mammalia; Artiodactyla; Delphinidae.